This 301-nucleotide ribosomal RNA is filed under the name uncultured bacterium. RNAcentral describes it as "partial 16S ribosomal RNA". It matches the Rfam family "Bacterial small subunit ribosomal RNA", at positions 509 to 807 of the family's 1533-position model. The record is from RNAcentral.
CAGUCGCCGCGGUAAUACGUAGGGUGCGAGCGUUAAUCGGAAUUACUGGGCGUAAAGCGUGCGCAGGCGGUUCGUUAAGACAGAUGUGAAAUCCCCGGGCUUAACCUGGGAACUGCAUUUGUGACUGGCGAGCUAGAGUAUGGCAGAGGGGGGUAGAAUUCCACGUGUAGCAGUGAAAUGCGUGGAGAUGUGGAGGAAUACCGAUGGCGAAGGCAGCCCCCUGGGCCAAUACUGACGCUCAUGCACGAAAGCGUGGGGAGCAAACAGGAUUAGAUACCCCAGUAGUCCCUGUCUCUUAUAC